RNAcentral lists this ribosomal RNA (253 nucleotides) under uncultured bacterium. RNAcentral describes it as "partial 16S ribosomal RNA". It matches the Rfam family "Bacterial small subunit ribosomal RNA", at positions 524 to 776 of the family's 1533-position model. The record is from RNAcentral.
CACGUAGGGAGCAAGCGUUGUCCGGAUUUAUUGGGCGUAAAGAGCUCGUAGGUGGUUCGGUAAGUCAAAGGUGAAAUCCCUCGGCUCAACUGAGGAACUGCCUUUGAAACUGUCGUGCUUGAGGCCGGGAGGGGGUAGCGGAAUUCCCAGUGUAGCGGUGAAAUGCGUAGAUAUUGGGAGGAACACCAGUGGCGAAGGCGGCUACCUGGACCGGUUCUGACGCUGAUGCGCGAAAGCGUGGGUAGCAAACAGG